Molecule: ribosomal RNA, 465 nt
Filed under: Vreelandella stevensii
Lineage: Bacteria; Pseudomonadati; Pseudomonadota; Gammaproteobacteria; Oceanospirillales; Halomonadaceae
Description: partial 16S ribosomal RNA
Rfam family: Bacterial small subunit ribosomal RNA
Source: RNAcentral
CCUACGGGGGGCUGCAGUGGGGAAUAUUGGACAAUGGGCGAAAGCCUGAUCCAGCCAUGCCGCGUGUGUGAAGAAGGCCUUCGGGUUGUAAAGCACUUUCAGUGGGGAAGAAAGCCUUGGGGCUAAUACCCUCGAGGAAGGACAUCACCCACAGAAGAAGCACCGGCUGACUCCGUGCCAGCAGCCGCGGUAAUACGGAGGGUGCGAGCGUUAAUCGGAAUUACUGGGCGUAAAGCGCGCGUAGGCGGUCUGAUAAGCCGGUUGUGAAAGCCCCGGGCUCAACCUGGGAACGGCAUCCGGAACUGUCAGGCUAGAGUGCAGGAGAGGAAGGUAGAAUUCCCGGUGUAGCGGUGAAAUGCGUAGAGAUCGGGAGGAAUACCAGUGGCGAAGGCGGCCUUCUGGACUGACACUGACGCUGAGGUGCGAAAGCGUGGGUAGCAAACAGGAUUAGAUACCCCAGUAGUC